This 321-nucleotide unclassified non-coding RNA is filed under the name Coprinellus sp. RNAcentral describes it as "partial internal transcribed spacer region". The stretch from base 1 to 46 matches the Rfam family "Eukaryotic small subunit ribosomal RNA", at positions 1786 to 1831 of the family's 1831-position model. Lineage: Eukaryota; Fungi; Basidiomycota; Agaricomycetes; Agaricales; Psathyrellaceae. RNAcentral also lists the same sequence under 1 other name. The record is from RNAcentral.
AAGUCGUAACAAGGUUUCCGUAGGUGAACCUGCGGAAGGAUCAUUAACGAAUAACUAUGGUGUUGGUUGUAGCUGGCUCCUCGGAGCAAUUGUGCACGCCCGCCAUUUUUAUCUUUCCACCUGUGCACCGACUGUAGGUCUGGAUACCUCUCGCCUCCUCCGGGAGGCGGAUGCGGGGAUUGCUCACAAGGGCUCUCCUCGAACUUCCAGGCUCUACGUCUUUUUACACACCCCAAUAGUAUGAUCCAGAAUGAUAGUCAAUGGGCUUUUCAUAGCCUAUAAAACACUAUACAACUUUCAGCAACGGAUCUCUUGGCUCUC